GUCCAUGCUGUUGGCUUUAUAAACACUAAUGUUUACUAUUUAGGAAACGAUGUGGGACUUUAAUAUUACUUCAUGCAAUAGUCCAUGUUGUUCCCAUAACAUAACCAACCAAACUUCAUUUAAUAUUACUUCAUAUUCUUCAACCAGUUAACAUCCCAAGCAUGUACUACCAUUCAUCAUUGUUUCUCAUUCAGUUUGUUUCUUUAUUCUUCAACCAGUUAACAUCCCAAGCAUGUACUACAUUCCCUGAACCACAUUCAAAACCAAACAUUGCUUCUAAUGUUUGUGUUUAAUUUACUUAAUACUAUUUAUUCUUGCAAUCACAUUCACACCUUACUACCAGUAACUUCAGUGAUGCAGCACCUCAUACCGAAAGUCUCAAUUAGCAACUGCGCUACCUGUUUUUGACAACACAAUGAGCACCACAGGGGUGAGAAAAAAGGCCACAAUGGAAGAAUUGAGGAGCCUAAGAAUGGUAACAGCUGUCAAGACUCCAUACUUACCCAAUGGCUUAAUGAUUCUUAUGAUGAACUUGUGUUUAUCAAGCUGGUGGUGAAGAAAUGGGACAGAAAGAAGUCCCACAUCGUUUGUGAGAACAAUGAAGCUAGUGUUUAUAAAGCAAAUUCCUAUUUAGUGUUUUAAGCUGAAUAUAUUUGGACACUAAGUGGGUUGGAGUUAGGACAAAAUUAAUAUAUGUCUUAAUGUCUUAAUAAUAAUAAUUUAAAAAAAUAAUUUUUGAUAAAUAUUAAUAAAAAUCGUUUUUAAAAAAAAAAGUAAAAAGGAAUAAAUAAAAAAAUUGACAAAAUUAAGAAUUCCACGUGGCUAUAAAAAAAUUAAUAAAAAAUAAAAUAAAUAUCCAGCUAGACUGCCAUGUCAUUGAAAAUUGGAAUCUGAGCUGAAAUUGUACAUUCAGGGGCUAUAACGAGAGAAUCUAGAUAUUACGAGGGAAGUUUUACAAAAAAAACUUUACCAGGGGCUAAAAUCAAAACUCGCUAACAUUACAAGGGGGGUUUGUAUAUUUAACCCAAAUAAUUAAUUAGAUUUUAAAUUAAAGUGAGUUUUCAAUAACGGUUGGUUGAUAAGUUAGUUGAUAAC
Molecule: long non-coding RNA, 1095 nt
Organism: Vicia villosa (hairy vetch)
Lineage: Eukaryota; Viridiplantae; Streptophyta; Magnoliopsida; Fabales; Fabaceae
Exons: 3
Source: RefSeq, a predicted model, not a curated record